AGCAGUCGCCGCGGGAAAACGGAGGGUGCAAGCGCUAAUCGGAUUUACUGGGCGUAAAGGGCGCGUAGGUGGUUAUUUAAGUAAGAUGUGAAAGCCCCGGGCUUAACCUGGGAACUGCAUCUUAUACUGGGUAACUGGAGUGCAGUAGAGGGUAGUGGAAUUUCCGGUGUAGCGGUGAAAUGCGUAGAUAUCGGAAGGAACACCAGUGGCGAAGGCGGCUACCUGGACUGAGACUGACACUGAGGCGCGAGAGCGUGGGGAGCAAACAGGAUUAGAUACCCCCGUAGUCCCUGUCUCUUAUCC
RNAcentral lists this ribosomal RNA (303 nucleotides) under uncultured bacterium. RNAcentral's name for it is "partial 16S ribosomal RNA". It matches the Rfam family "Bacterial small subunit ribosomal RNA", at positions 507 to 809 of the family's 1533-position model. The record is from RNAcentral.